UGACGAAGAAUACGAAAUGAAUAAGUGAA
RNAcentral lists this small RNA (29 nucleotides) under Bombyx mori (domestic silkworm). RNAcentral describes it as "ovarian small RNA-31688". Lineage: Eukaryota; Metazoa; Arthropoda; Insecta; Lepidoptera; Bombycidae. The record is from RNAcentral.